This 500-nucleotide ribosomal RNA is filed under the name uncultured bacterium. RNAcentral describes it as "partial 16S ribosomal RNA". It matches the Rfam family "Bacterial small subunit ribosomal RNA", at positions 29 to 523 of the family's 1533-position model. The record is from RNAcentral.
AUUGAACGCUGGCGGCAUGCCUUACACAUGCAAGUCGAACGGCAGCACGGACUUCGGUCUGGUGGCGAGUGGCGAACGGGUGAGUAAUGCAUCGGAACGUACCCGGUAGUGGGGGAUAACUACCCGAAAGGGUGGCCAAUACCGCAUAUACUGUGCGCAGGAAAGCAGGGGACCUUCGGGCCUUGUGCUACCGGAGCGGCCGAUGUCAGAUUAGGUAGUUGGUGGGGUAACGGCCUACCAAGCCUGCGAUCUGUAGCGGGUCUGAGAGGAUGAUCCGCCACACUGGGACUGAGACACGGCCCAGACUCCUACGGGAGGCAGCAGUGGGGAAUUUUGGACAAUGGGCGCAAGCCUGAUCCAGCCAUGCCGCGUGAGCGAAGAAGGCCUUCGGGUUGUAAAGCUCUUUCGGACGGAAAGAAAUCGCGCAGGCUAAUACCCUGCGCGGAUGACGGUACCGUCAUAAGAAGCACCGGCUAACUACGUGCCAGCCGCCGCAGUAA